UACGUAGGGGGCCAGCGUUGUCCGGAAUCAUUGGGCGUAAAGCGCGUGUAGGCGGUCCGGUAAGUCCGCUGUGAAAGUCGGGGGCUCAACCCUCGGAUGCCGGUGGAUACUGUCGGGCUUGAGUACGGAAGAGGCGAGUGGAAUUCCUGGUGUAGCGGUGAAAUGCGCAGAUAUCAGGAGGAACACCUAUUGCGAAGGCAGCUCGCUGGGACGUAACUGACGCUGAGACGCGAAAGCGUGGGGGGCAAACAGG
RNAcentral lists this ribosomal RNA (253 nucleotides) under uncultured bacterium. RNAcentral describes it as "partial 16S ribosomal RNA". It matches the Rfam family "Bacterial small subunit ribosomal RNA", at positions 524 to 776 of the family's 1533-position model. The record is from RNAcentral.